RNAcentral lists this ribosomal RNA (400 nucleotides) under phytoplankton environmental sample. Its description in RNAcentral is "partial small subunit ribosomal RNA". It matches the Rfam family "Eukaryotic small subunit ribosomal RNA", at positions 587 to 991 of the family's 1831-position model. The record is from RNAcentral.
AGCUCCAAUAGCGUAUAUUAAAGUUGUUGCAGUUAAAAAGCUCGUAGUUGAAUUUCUGGACUUAGCGACCGGUCCGCGUCUUAUGGGCGUGUGUACUUGUGCGCUGUGUCCAUUUUCGUGGGGAACUGUCUGGCGUUCACGCGUCGGGCGGUGAUCCGCGUCUUUUACUGUGAAAAAAUUAGAGUGUUUAAAGCAGGCAUAUGCCUUGAAUACAUUAGCAUGGAAUAAUAAGAUAGGACUUUGGCCUAUUUUGUUGGUUAUUACGCCAAGGUAAUGAUUAAUAGGGAUAGUUGGGGGUAUUCAUAUUUCAUUGUCAGAGGUGAAAUUCUUGGAUUUAUGAAAGAUGAACAACUGCGAAAGCAUUUACCAAGGAUGUUUUCAUUAAUCAAGAACGAAAGUA